This is a long non-coding RNA of Nomascus leucogenys (northern white-cheeked gibbon), 385 nucleotides long. RefSeq lists it as uncharacterized. The record is from RefSeq and is a predicted model, not a curated record. NCBI's taxonomy places the organism in Eukaryota, Metazoa, Chordata, Mammalia, Primates, Hylobatidae. The transcript is spliced from 2 exons.
GCUGGAGCACAGUGGUGCAAUCUCGGAUCACUGCAAGCUCCGCCUCCCGGGCCUCAGUCUGCAGAGACACAGAAGCAAAUGACUUUAUGAAGCUCCUGACUGUAUGAAGUUCUCAGUCAAACAAAGUAGUACCUCUUCUGCCCAUCUCAGAGGUAGAUGAGGGUAAAGUGAAAUAACGGAAAGCACAAGGAACAGUAAAAGGCAAAUGUCAAGAAGCUGUUUGCAAAGUUACCAAGAUGUAAAAUUAGAUUUUACUUAUUAAUAAUCAUGUCACUUGUUAUUCUGUUUAUAACGGUCAGUUCACUGCUGAUAUUCAAGUGGACUGUUUAAACUGUAUUUUUGCUCAACUAUCCCUCCAAAUUAAAUAUCUCAAAAUCUUGACUGU